GCUUUUGUAGUAAAAAAAUAACAGGGGUUUUUCAAGCCUCCAUUCCUGGUUAAAGUCCUGGCAAGAGUU
This 69-nucleotide transfer RNA is filed under the name Samariscus latus (deep-body righteye flounder). RNAcentral describes it as "tRNA-Glu". It matches the Rfam family "tRNA". From Rfam's summary of the family: Transfer RNA (tRNA) molecules are approximately 80 nucleotides in length. Their secondary structure includes four short double-helical elements and three loops (D, anti-codon, and T loops). Lineage: Eukaryota; Metazoa; Chordata; Actinopteri; Pleuronectiformes; Samaridae. The record is from RNAcentral.